AAGAAUCCAUAGGCGUCUCAAAUGUCACAAUUGACACAUUAAGAGGUAACCUUAAGACUUAUGAAUCUAUAAUACUUAACCCUCUUGUUGAUGAUUAAAGGAGGCAAAAAUAGCGCUUAAGGCAAGCACAAGCCAACCUCAAGUUGAUGAGGACGGAGACAACGAGUUUGGAAUCAUUAUCAAAAGAUUUCAAAAGUUCAUGCGAAAGGAGUAUGAACGAAGGCAAAAAGCAAGGCGAGCAAAUAAAGUGCUAUAAAUGCGGUGAAACCGGGCACAUCAAAUCAAAUUGCCCAAACAUCAAAACGGAGAAGAAACCUUUUAAAAAGCAACGUGCAUACAUUUCUUGGGGAGGCGACUCCGGAGAUGAGUCAAGCGAAGGAGAAGAAGACGAAGCAGCAAAUCUNNNN
RNAcentral lists this long non-coding RNA (407 nucleotides) under Nicotiana benthamiana. RNAcentral describes it as "long non-coding RNA (NBEN_LNC019901)". The record is from RNAcentral. Lineage: Eukaryota; Viridiplantae; Streptophyta; Magnoliopsida; Solanales; Solanaceae.